Molecule: ribosomal RNA, 913 nt
Filed under: uncultured bacterium
Lineage: Bacteria
Description: bacterial SSU rRNA
Rfam family: Bacterial small subunit ribosomal RNA
Source: RNAcentral
AACGAACGUUGGCGGCGUGCUUAACACAUGCAAGUCGAACGAGAACGGUUUCUUCGGAGACCUAGUAAAGUGGCGCACGGGUGAGUAACGCGUAGAUAACCUGUCCAGGUGUUCAGGAUAGCCCUUCGAAAGGGGGAUUAAUACCGGAUACGUUAGUCUGUUAUAAGACAGAUUAAGAAAGGUGGUCUCUAUUUAUAAGCUAUCGCAUUUGGAGGGGUCUGCGUACCAUUAGUUUGUUGGUGGGGUAAUGGCCUACCAAGGCAUCGAUGGUUAGCGGGUCUGAGAGGAUGAUCCGCCACACUGGAACUGGAACACGGACCAGACUCCUACGGGAGGCAGCAGUGAGGAAUAUUGCGCAAUGGGGGCAACCCUGACGCAGCGACGCCGCGUGGAUGAUGAAGGCCUUCGGGUCGUAAAAUCCUGUCAGAUGGAAAGAAGUGCUAUAUGGAUAAUACCUGUAUAGCUUGACGGUACCAUCAAAGGAAGCACCGGCUAACUCCGUGCCAGCAGCCGCGGUAAUACGGAGGGUGCAAGCGUUGUUCGGAAUUACUGGGCGUAAAGCGCGCGUAGGUGGUCUGUUAUGUCAGAUGUGAAAGUCCACGGCUCAACCGUGGAAGUGCAUUUGAAACUGGCAGACUUGAGUACUGGAGGGGGUAGUGGAAUUCCCGGUGUAGAGGUGAAAUUCGUAGAUAUCGGGAGGAAUACCGGUGGCGAAGGCGACUACCUGGCCAGAUACUGACACUGAGGUGCGAAAGCGUGGGGAGCAAACAGGAUUAGAUACCCUGGUAGUCCACGCCGUAAACGAUGUCGACUAGGCGUUGGGAUGGUUAAUCGUCUCAUUGCCGGAGCUAACGCAUUAAGUUGACCGCCUGGGGAGUACGGUCGCAAGAUUAAAACUCCAAGGAAUUGACGG